RNAcentral lists this ribosomal RNA (492 nucleotides) under uncultured bacterium. RNAcentral describes it as "partial 16S ribosomal RNA". It matches the Rfam family "Bacterial small subunit ribosomal RNA", at positions 29 to 507 of the family's 1533-position model. The record is from RNAcentral.
AGUGAACGCUGGCGGUAGGCCUAACACAUGCAAGUCGAACGGCAGCACAGUAAGAGCUUGCUCUUACGGGUGGCGAGUGGCGGACGGGUGAGGAAUACAUCGGAAUCUACUUUUUCGUGGGGGAUAACGUAGGGAAACUUACGCUAAUACCGCAUACGACCUACGGGGGAAAGCAGGGGAUCUUCGGACCUUGCGCGUAUGAAUGAGCCGAUGUCGGAUUAGCUAGUUGGCGGGGUAAAGGCCCACCAAGGCGACGAUCCGUAGCUGGUCUGAGAGGAUGAUCAGCCACACUGGAACUGAGACACGGUCCAGACUCCUACGGGAGGCAGCAGUGGGGAAUAUUGGACAAUGGGCGCAAGCCUGAUCCAGCCAUACCGCGUGGGUGAAGAAGGCCUUCGGGUUGUAAAGCCCUUUUGUUGGGAAAGAAAAGCAGCAGGUUAAUACCCCGCUGUUCUGACGGUACCCAAAGAAUAAGCACCGGCUAACUUCGUG